Molecule: long non-coding RNA, 229 nt
Organism: Exaiptasia diaphana
Lineage: Eukaryota; Metazoa; Cnidaria; Anthozoa; Actiniaria; Aiptasiidae
Exons: 3
Source: RefSeq, a predicted model, not a curated record
GUGUCACAUGUGCAAAUCGGUUCGCACAAAGACAAGGUCAUAUCUACGAACGAAGACCGAACGAAGCAUGAUCGAAAAGUCAGCAAUAAAACAACUAUUAUACAGCUACGAUCCAGGAAUAACAUCCCUCAACAGGACACUUUGAAAAGACUCCAACAACAACUAAAUUAAGGUUUGUUCAUCUUAUAUUCCGGCUGGACCUGAGCUAGUCAGUUGGCCUGCGCCUCGG